UCCGAAUACCCUCAAAUUCUUGGAAGCUCUCUAAAGUUCUACCGAGUCUCUAGAAAAAUCUUUGAGUCACCGAGUCUCCACUCAUGAGCUCAGAGUACCCUACCAGUGGUGAUCCACCCAAAGAGUCUCUCAUAGUUCUAGACUGAGUGACAUCCCCUUGAGACUAUAUCUCUCCCAAACAUAGACCGUUCCUCUCUCCCACAAACUCAAGACUUCCACUCACAUGCACCGCUGAUUUGAUCUCAUCUCCUUCUACUUCUUUUAGAACUUCCUUUGUUCCAUCGAGGUAGACUAACGCGUCAGAGGGUCCUCACCAGAAAACCCUCGGCAAGCGGACUUCCUUUGCUUUUGGUGUUUCAGCAUACUCAAAGAGGUUGAAACAUAGUUUUGAACCUCUUCGAUAGCUUUCCGACUUUCAGCCAGCUCCUAGAGUCCCUAGGUUGCCACUUACCCCCUCUUAUCCUUAGCUUAAGCUCAUCGGCCUGAGCUAAAUCGAUCCUCGGUGGCAACAAAACCCAUACCCUUAGCCUAAGUGGCAGGGAGUAAUAUUAUUCGAGUGCUUGGUGGGAUAGGGUUUUUCCUUGAAAGAACACCAUCACAUAAGUUUAGGUUGAAGUUCUUGACCUUGAGAGGGCUUGUGUUUCACUUUGUGUAGGUUUCCUCCAUGCCCCACGCAGAACAACAAAAGACAACCUCCACUCGGUGAUAGUUGGACUAUAAUAGCAGAAUGACCUCCACAAUUGUGAGAUCUGUAUCUUAUCAUAUCCCAACAAGCUCAAGAACGUGCGAAACAGUUAUCCCCAACCUCCCUCGCAUGUUCUUAAUGCCUUGGGAUCCAACCCUCAUCUACAUAAACUCUUUCCUAGGGAACCUCUAGAUAAGUCCACACAAGUCGAAUCAAGUCUAGACAAGACUUCCUAAGCCUAAAUCCUUCCGAAUACCCUCAAAUUCUUGGAAGCUCUCUAAAGUUCUAUCGAGUCUCUAGAAAAAUCUUUGAGUCACCGAGUCUCCACUCAUGAGCUCAGAGUACCCUACCAGUGGUGAUCCACCCAAAGGGUCUCUCAUAGUUCUAGACUGAGUGACAUCCCCUUGAGACUAUAUCUCUCCUAAACAUAGACCGUUCCUCUCUCCCACAGACUCAAGACUUCCACUCACAUGCACCGUUGAUUUGAUCUCAUCUCCUUCUACUUCUUUUAGAACUUCCUUUGUUCCAUCGAGGUAGACUAAUGCAUCAGAGGGUCCUCACUAGAAAACCCUCGGCAAGCGGACUUCCUUUGCUUUUGGUGUUUCAGCAUGCUCAAAAAAGUUGAAACAUAGUUUUGGACCUCUCCGACAGCUUUCCGACUUUCAACCAGCUCCUAGAGUCCCUAGGUUGCCAAUUACCGCCUCUUAUCCUUAGCUUCAGCUCAUCGGCCUGAGCUAAAUCGACCCUCGGUGGCAACAAAACCCAUACCCCUAGCCUAAGUAGCAGGGAGUAAUAUUAUUCGAGUGCUUGGUGGGAUAGGGUUUCCCCUUGAAAGAACACCAUCACAUAAGUUUAGGUUGAAGUUCUUGACCUUGAGAGGGCUUGUGUUUCACUUUGUGUAGGUUUCCUCCAUGCCCCACACAAAACAACAAAAGACAACCUACAAAUCAACAAUAUUAGCUAUUUUAUUCAAAAGCAAAUUAAAGCAAAAUUCUGCCAAAAUAACCCCACUCCAACAACCAAGACUAGGAAUUUGAAAAUAAUACAUUAAACAAAAUAGAGAUAAGCAAAAUAGUGCAAAGCCCAAGGGUAAUGAAAGGAAACCAGAAAAAUCCUAUCUUGAUCUUAGCCAAGCUUAUCCCUUUAAAUAUAUAUAAGAAAGUCAUCCAAUAUGGACUGACUCCAAGAUAGAGCUUUGCAGGAAGCAAUAACCCCCAAUAUCACUCCAAAUGUCCCCAUCCCACAGUUUUCCCAAAUGCAGUUUUACAAGCAUGACCAUAAU
RNAcentral lists this long non-coding RNA (1967 nucleotides) under Elaeis guineensis (African oil palm). RNAcentral describes it as "long non-coding RNA (EGUI_LNC000830)". The record is from RNAcentral. Lineage: Eukaryota; Viridiplantae; Streptophyta; Magnoliopsida; Arecales; Arecaceae.